Molecule: ribosomal RNA, 100 nt
Organism: Cercocebus atys (sooty mangabey)
Lineage: Eukaryota; Metazoa; Chordata; Mammalia; Primates; Cercopithecidae
Source: Ensembl
AUCUACGGCCAUGCCACCCUCAUCCCGGAAUCUAAGUAUGGUCAGGCCUGGCCUGUACUUGGAUGGGAGACCCCCCUAAGAAUACCAGGUGCUGUAGACU